AAGGAAAAUCAAGCAAAUAACAAGGGUCACAUGAUUACCUCACUGAUCGGAGCAGACGAAACAGAUCCGACGGUGAAUUGGUGAUUGAACAAAGCGGUCGUGGUUGGUUUGGCAGCGACGUCCGACUGUGGUGAUGCAACGGUCAAUCUCUGGUAAAAGUGAAGAUUGCGGUGAGGUGCAAAGAAUAUCAGACUGUGAUUUUCUGUGGUGCUCAAUGGGUUUUAAAAAGAAAUUGAAGAUCGGUGCUAACAAGGUUUACUAGCACAAGAAGAUUACUGUCAUCUGAUGCAACCGCGGGUGCAUCUCCUUUGACGCCAACACUCGCUAAUCGCUAUGGGCAAGCUGAAGCUGAGAAAGCCGUCUCUAAACCUUCAAAAGUCCAAGCAAUUCUCAAAAACAUAAAACAAGUUCUUCACUAUGCAAAUAAUUCGGUGAUAUAUCGGUUAUCGGUUCCCAUGUGAAAUAUCGGUGUCAAUUAUCAGUCAGAAUAUUGGUACCAAUGGUUGGCAGCUAGGUACUAACCUUCAACUUUAACCUUAAAAGUAUUAUUAUAUUAUACAUAAUCUUAAAAGUGAAUGUUUGUGGACAUUUCACUUUAACCUUCAACUUUGUUAAAAUCUCAUAUUUAUCCCCUAGAUAUUUCACUUUACCUUUUUAACUUUUUCAAAUCUCAUUUUUACUCCUUGUAAGCCCCUUAAGUUUAGAAAAUAUCAUUUUCAACCCCUUAACUUUUUAAGAACUUUAUAAAAUAUCACUUGGACCCCUCGAGACAAUAUACAAUCCAAUAUUUCUUUAAUACAUACGUAAAUUUGGUGUAUGCAUUCGUGCUUUAUUGUGUACGUUUCCAACGUAUGAAUAAGGUCACAUAUAAUACGUUUUGACUCGACGGUAAAAUUUGAGUUGGUCGGGUCGUUGA
Molecule: long non-coding RNA, 916 nt
Organism: Helianthus annuus (common sunflower)
Lineage: Eukaryota; Viridiplantae; Streptophyta; Magnoliopsida; Asterales; Asteraceae
Exons: 2
Source: RefSeq, a predicted model, not a curated record